ACUCCUACGGGAGGCAGCAGUGGGGAAUAUUGCACAAUGGGCGCAAGCCUGAUGCAGCCAUGCCGCGUGUAUGAAGAAGGCCUUCGGGUUGUAAAGUACUUUCAGCGGGGAGGAAGGCAAUACGGUUAAUAACCGUGUUGAUUGACGUUACCCGCAGAAGAAGCACCGGCUAACUCCGUGCCAGCAGCCGCGGUAAUACGGAGGGUGCAAGCGUUAAUCGGAAUUACUGGGCGUAAAGCGCACGCAGGCGGUCUGUCAAGUCGGAUGUGAAAUCCCCGGGCUCAACCUGGGAACUGCAUUCGAAACUGGCAGGCUUGAGUCUUGUAGAGGGGGGUAGAAUUCCAGGUGUAGCGGUGAAAUGCGUAGAGAUCUGGAGGAAUACCGGUGGCGAAGGCGGCCCCCUGGACAAAGACUGACGCUCAGGUGCGAAAGCGGGGGGAGCAAACAGGAUUAGAUACCCCAGUAGUCCCAUG
This 473-nucleotide ribosomal RNA is filed under the name uncultured organism. RNAcentral describes it as "partial 16S ribosomal RNA". It matches the Rfam family "Bacterial small subunit ribosomal RNA", at positions 335 to 799 of the family's 1533-position model. The record is from RNAcentral.